UACGGAGGGUGCAAGCGUUAUCCGGAUUCACUGGGUUUAAAGGGUGCGUAGGCGGGCAGGUAAGUCCGUGGUGAAAUCUCUGAGCUUAACUCAGAAACUGCCAUGGAUACUAUUUGUCUUGAAUAUUGUGGAGGUGAGCGGAAUAUGUCAUGUAGCGGUGAAAUGCUUAGAUAUGACAUAGAACACCAAUUGCGAAGGCAGCUCACUACACAGUUAUUGACGCUGAGGCACGAAAGCGUGGGGGAUCAAACAGG
RNAcentral lists this ribosomal RNA (254 nucleotides) under uncultured bacterium. RNAcentral describes it as "partial 16S ribosomal RNA". It matches the Rfam family "Bacterial small subunit ribosomal RNA", at positions 524 to 776 of the family's 1533-position model. The record is from RNAcentral.